GAUAAGAACGCAGCGAAAUGCGAUAAGUAAUGUGAAUUGCAGAAUUCAGUGAAUCAUCGAAUCUUUGAACGCACAUUGCGCCCGCCAGUAUUCUGGCGGGCAUGCCUGUCUGAGCGUCAUUUCAACCCUCAUGCCCCUAGGGCGUGGUGUUGGGGAUCGGCCAAAGCCCGCGAGGGACGGCCGGCCCCUAAAUCUAGUGGCGGACCCGUCGUGGCCUCCUCUGCGAAGUAGUGAUAUUCCGCAUCGGAGAGCGAUGAGCCCCUGCCGUUAAACCCCCAACUUUCCAAGGUUGACCUCAGAUCAGGUAGGAAUACCCGCUGAACUUAAGCAUAUCAAUAAGCGGAGGA
This 347-nucleotide unclassified non-coding RNA is filed under the name soil metagenome. Its description in RNAcentral is "partial contains 5.8S ribosomal RNA, internal transcribed spacer 2, and large subunit ribosomal RNA". The stretch from base 4 to 119 matches the Rfam family "5.8S ribosomal RNA", at positions 39 to 154 of the family's 154-position model. The record is from RNAcentral.